UAAAAUCCUAAUCAAUUAUAUGGUUUGCAAAUACUUUCUCGCAUUUAGUAGGCUAGCUUUUCAUUUUGUUGUGUGUUUUCUUUGCUCUGCAGAAAUAUGAAAAAGAAAAAAAGGGCAUCCAAAUCAUCAAGGAGAGAGCAAAGUGAAUAGUGUGAUUUGCUUAGAGGACAAUGCUGCUACAAAAACCUGUUCCACUCCAAGGCCAACUGCAGUUUUGAGCCAUAUCCAAAGAGGGAAAAGCAGAGACUGAUUUAAACUGGCCUGUGUACUAUCCCAAACUCACCAAUCAAAUAAGUCAUUUCCUCCCCCAGGAGAGGGGAACCAAGGAUGUCCUUCCGCAUGAAAAUGUCAGAACGAGAAAGAGAAGAAAAGGAAAUUGUUGAAGAAUCUAGGAGUGUUUGAAAGAGGAAGAGACUGCAUUGUGCUCCCCAGAUCAAUGGUUGAUAAGCUGAAGUUGUCCUCACACCAUUAAGAGACACAGUGGUAAAUCACAUGAUAGGUGUCACAGGAAGUUAAACUGUAUAAACAGAGAGACCAGUGCCUACUUUUUUUUUUUUUUUUGAGACGGAGUCUCGCUCUGUCGCCCAGGCUAGAGUGCAGUGGCGCGAUCUCUGCUCACUGCAAGCUCCGCCUGCCGGGUUCACGCCACUCUCCUGCCUCAGCCUCCGGAGUAGCUGGGACUACAGGCACCGGCCACCACGCCCGGCUAAUUUUUUGUAUUUUUAGUAGCGACGGGGUUUCACCGUGGUCUCCAUCUCCUGACCUCGUGAUCCGCCCGCCUCGGCCUCCCAAAGUGCUGGUAUUACAGGUGUCAGCCACCGCGCCUGACCAACAGUAAAAAAGGAUGAGGUGAACUGCCUUGGUCAGACUCUGAGAAAUACUCACAGUUCCUCCUUCCUCCUGGCCAAGUCCUUGAAGAAUCAAAGCAGCAAAUAAACAAGGUGGAACAAGAGUGAAAAUGAGAAUGCAUUUAUCUUCUCCACUGAACGACCCCAAGUCCUGUGUCAGGGCUGAGAUGUUUGAGUUGCUCCCAGUUUUAUGCUACCAUGAAUGAGUUAACACUGAUUGUAGCUGAGACAUCUGCUGCUGUGUUGCUCCUUCAAAGGUGAUGUGUCUUUUCUCUCUAAUUUUAAGAUCUUUUCUUGGUCUUUGUGUUCUGCAAUUUUAUUACAAUGUGACUAGGUAUGUGAUAAUUUUAAAAUAAGUCUACAAAUUCUUAGACAGCCCUUUCUUCAUGAAAUGGAACCUAAUUCUUCUCCCUCUGAGUGUGGGCUGAACCUAGUGACUUCAUUCUAACAACAGAAUUUGGCAAAAUAUUACUUCCAAAACCAGGCCAAUGUUCUUUUCUGCUUUCUCACUUGGAUUGCCACUCUGGGAAAGACAGCUGUCAGGUCAUGAGCACACUCAAGCGAGCCCUGUGGAGGGGUCCAUGUGGCAAGGCACAGAGGCCUCCAAUAAACAGACAUAUGUGUGAGCCAUCUCGGAAGCAGAUACUCCAGCCCCAGUCCAGCCUUCAGAUGACUACAAUCUCACAAGUGACCCCAAGCUAGACCUACUAAGCUAAGCAACUAGUGAUUCCUGUCCC
RNAcentral lists this long non-coding RNA (1585 nucleotides) under Homo sapiens (human). RNAcentral describes it as "HSALNT0031534". Lineage: Eukaryota; Metazoa; Chordata; Mammalia; Primates; Hominidae. The record is from RNAcentral.